Molecule: ribosomal RNA, 498 nt
Filed under: Triticum aestivum (bread wheat)
Lineage: Eukaryota; Viridiplantae; Streptophyta; Magnoliopsida; Poales; Poaceae
Description: partial small subunit ribosomal RNA
Source: RNAcentral
AUGGCGGCCGGGAAGCGCACCAUCGGCCUCGCGAUGGACUACUCGCCGUCCAGCAAGGCGGCGACGAGGUGGGUGGUCGAGAACCUGGUGAAGGCCGGCGACCGCAUCAUCCUCAUCCACGUCCUACCCAAGGGAGCAGACGCCAGCCACAAGGGCCUCUGGAAGAGCACCGGUUCACCUCUGAUCCCUCUGCUGGAGUUCAUGGAGAUGAACGUGCAGGCGCGGUACGGGGUCAACCCGGACAAGGAGGUGCUGGAGAUCCUGCAGGCUGAGUCCAAGUCCAAGCAGGUGGAAAUACUGGCAAAAAUAUACUGGGGUGAUGCAAGGGAGAAACUUUGUGAGGCAGUAGAUGAUCUCAAGGUCGACUCUGUUGUGCUUGGUUGCAGGGGAUUAGGGCCCUUAAAAAGGGCACUCCUUGGAAGCGUCAGCAACUAUGUUGUCAACAAUGCAACCUGCCCCGUCACAGUGGUGCGCGGACCAAAUGGAUCACUUGCUUGA